This 483-nucleotide ribosomal RNA is filed under the name uncultured bacterium. RNAcentral's name for it is "partial 16S ribosomal RNA". It matches the Rfam family "Bacterial small subunit ribosomal RNA", at positions 28 to 507 of the family's 1533-position model. The record is from RNAcentral.
GAUGAACGCUGGCGGCGUGCCUAACACAUGCAAGUCGAACGGAGUCGUUUUGGAAAUCUCUUCGGAGAUGGAAUUCUCGACUUAGUGGCGGACGGGUGAGUAACGCGUGAGCAAUCUGCCUUUAAGAGGGGGAUAACAGUCGGAAACGGCUGCUAAUACCGCAUAAAGCAUUAAAUUCGCAUGUUUUUGAUGCCAAAGGAGCAAUCCGCUUUUAGAUGAGCUCGCGUCUGAUUAGCUAGUUGGCGGGGUAACGGCCCACCAAGGCGACGAUCAGUAGCCGGACUGAGAGGUUGAACGGCCACAGUGGGACUGAGACACGGCCCAGACUCCUACGGGAGGCAGCAGUGGGGAAUAUUGCGCAAUGGGGGAAACCCUGACGCAGCAACGCCGCGUGAUUGAAGAAGGCCUUCGGGUUGUAAAGAUCUUUAAUCAGGGACGAAACAAAUGACGGUACCUGAAGAAUAAGCUCCGGCUAACUACGUG